CGGGUGAGUAAUACAUAAGUAACCUGCCCUAGACAGGGGGAUAACUAUUGGAAACGAUAGCUAAGACCGCAUAGGUACGGACACUGCAUGGUGACCGUAUUAAAAGUGCCUCAAAGCACUGGUAAAGGAUGGACUUAUGGCGCAUUAGCUGGUUGGCGGGGUAACGGCCCACCAAGGCGACGAUGCGUAGCCGACCUGAGAGGGUGACCGGCCACACUGGGACUGAGACACGGCCCAG
Molecule: ribosomal RNA, 238 nt
Filed under: uncultured bacterium
Lineage: Bacteria
Description: partial 16S ribosomal RNA
Rfam family: Bacterial small subunit ribosomal RNA
Source: RNAcentral